UAGGGAGUCAUUUCAGGAGAAGAUCUCAAUCCAUCCCAAUGCUGAAAAGGGCCUGGCACCCUCUUCCUUUUUCCAGUUGAGUAAAUAUUUGUUGGGGCAGGUGCAGAAUGAGACCACCAGCCAGCCCCAUCCUAGGGUCCUGGGCUUGGGACUAUGUACACAACCUACAACUACCAGUCCUUCUAGGCUUAGAGCUCCAAAUGGGGACUCACCAUGAAGGGGUUAAGGAGCCCAGUGGAGACAACAGAGGCCCCAAGUGUGGAGGAAGACAUUUCUGCUAAGCUUGUUCAAUCUCUGUGGAAACAUAAGAGCACAGAAGUCCAGUUCUCACCAGGACACACAUUUGGACAGACCAGGCUCCUCAGGUCUCCACAAUGCCCAUCCCUCCUCCUUGCCUGCUGCUGAUUCUAAUGCUGGGACUCACAGGUGAGCAUUCCUUGGGGUAGAUCCCCUCUCCCUGCCCCCUGCAUCUCCCCCUACCCCUGCACUUCUAGAGUUUCCAUGUAAACUUGGGUGUGCCCUUCAGGGCAGUCAGAACAGGUCAAGGACUGGGCAUUAUCCAGAGCAUGAAAUCAUGGAUCUGAGCAUUUCCUUUUCUGGAUCCAUUUUCUGCAACUGGUUACAAGACUCAUCAAAACAGAUGAUACUUCAAAACUGACAAUAACAAGAUUAUGUGCCUUAAUUAUCCCAGGGUGAUAAUUGACUAUUACUCCUAAACUGAAAAUGGGGAAACUGAGGCAAAGAGAAUAACUUGCCCAAUGUCACUUACCUAAGGCAGUGGAGAACAGGAUUUGAGUCCAGGCUGUUCAUCUUCAGAGUUGAUUCUUUUAAGCACAUUAUGCAGCUCAGCUUCUCAGAGGAGGCUAAUGGCAGAAAAGAACAGGAAAAGCAAAUAGUAUAUUCGUCAUCACCCAUCCUGCCACUCAAAGCUCACCAGAGCUUAAAUCUUGCUACGUGUACUUCCAAACUUUUGUUAGCGAUGUGUUGGUUGUUUCCUAUGUGCUAAAUUGUUUACUACUUUAUUUUUUAAUUUUUUAUAGCAGAUCUUUUUUAAAUUUUAUUUUAUUUUUUAAAUCAUUUCCCCAAUUUUUUUCCUACU
RNAcentral lists this long non-coding RNA (1099 nucleotides) under Sus scrofa (pig). RNAcentral describes it as "lncRNA (ENSSSCG00025019698.1)". The record is from RNAcentral. Lineage: Eukaryota; Metazoa; Chordata; Mammalia; Artiodactyla; Suidae.